This 671-nucleotide ribosomal RNA is filed under the name uncultured bacterium. RNAcentral's name for it is "bacterial SSU rRNA". It matches the Rfam family "Bacterial small subunit ribosomal RNA", at positions 57 to 698 of the family's 1533-position model. The record is from RNAcentral.
GCAGUCGACGAGAAGCGUUCUUCGGAACGUGAGUACAGUGGCGGACGGGUGAGUAACACGUGGGGAACCUGCCCUCAAGCUGGGAACAACCCGCCUAACGGCGGGCUAAUACCGAAUGUGGUUGUCAGUCCGCAUGGUAUGACAACUAAGAGGUGGCCUCUCCUUGGAAGCUACCGCCUUGUGGAUGGCCCCGCGCUCAAUUAGCUAGUUGGUAGGGUAACGGCCUACCGAAGGCAACGAUUGAUAGCCAGACUCUGAGAGGGUGAUCGGCCACACUGGGAUUGAGAUAAGGCCCAGUCUCCUAUCGGGAGCCAGCAGUCUACAAGAUUUGGGCAAUGGGCGGAAAGCCUGACCCAGCGACGCCGCGUGGGGGAUGAAGCUUCUCGGAGUGUAAACCCCUGUUAGGUGGGACGAAGGCGCGUAUACGGGUGAGGGAGGGCGGGUUUGACGGUACCACCAGAGGAAGCUCCGGCUAACUCCGUGCCAGCAGCCGCGGUAAUACGGUGUGAGCACGCGUUGUUCAGAGUUAUUGUGCGUAAGGGCGUACAUGCGGUGGUGUCAGUCAGAUGGGAAAUCCCCCGGCUCACCGGGGACCUGCAGUUGAUACUGCAUCACUUGAGUACAUGAGAUGAUAGCGGAAUUUUCGGUGUAGCGGUGAAUGUGUAGAUAUC